AGCCCUGUACUUCGGGAUAAGCUUGGGAAACUGGGUCUAAUACCGGAUAGGACAACUUUUUGGAUAUUGUUGUGGAAAGCUUUUGCGGUAUGGGAUGAGCUCGCGGCCUAUCAGCUUGUUGGUGGGGUAAUGGCCUACCAAGGCGUCGACGGGUAGCCGGCCUGAGAGCGUGUACGGCCACAUUGGGACUGAGAUACGGCCCAGACUCCUACGGGAGGCAGCAGUGGGGAAUAUUGCACAAUGGGCGCAAGCCUGAUGCAGCGACGCCGCGUGGGGGAUGAAGGCCUUCGGGUUGUAAACUCCUUUCGCUAGGGACGAAGCGUUUUUGUGACGGUACCUGGAGAAGAAGCACCGGCUAACUACGUGCCAGCAGCCGCGGUAAUACGUAGGGUGCGAGCGUUGUCCGGAAUUACUGGGCGUAAAGGGCUCGUAGGUGGUUUGUCGCGUCGUCUGUGAAAUUCCGGGGCUUAACUCCGGGCGUGCAGGCGAUACGGGCAUAACUUGAGUACUGUAGGGGUAACUGGAAUUCCUGGUGUAGCGGUGAAAUGCGCAGAUAUCAGGAGGAACACCAGUGGCGAAGGCGACUUUCUGGUCUGCAACUGACGCUGAUGUGCGAAAGCGUGGGG
Molecule: ribosomal RNA, 626 nt
Filed under: uncultured Actinomycetales bacterium
Lineage: Bacteria; Bacillati; Actinomycetota; Actinomycetes; Actinomycetales
Description: bacterial SSU rRNA
Rfam family: Bacterial small subunit ribosomal RNA
Source: RNAcentral